RNAcentral lists this small nuclear RNA (126 nucleotides) under Hordeum vulgare subsp. vulgare (domesticated barley). Its description in RNAcentral is "U2 spliceosomal RNA". It matches the Rfam family "U2 spliceosomal RNA", at positions 71 to 192 of the family's 192-position model. Rfam says of the family: U2 is a small nuclear RNA (snRNA) component of the spliceosome (involved in pre-mRNA splicing). Complementary binding between U2 snRNA (in an area lying towards the 5' end but 3' to hairpin I) and the branchpoint sequence (BPS) of the intron results the bulging out of an unpaired adenosine, on the BPS, which initiates a nucleophilic attack at the intronic 5' splice site, thus starting the first of two transesterification reactions that mediate splicing. The record is from Rfam by way of RNAcentral. Lineage: Eukaryota; Viridiplantae; Streptophyta; Magnoliopsida; Poales; Poaceae.
AUUUAUGCGCUCACAACGAUAUUAAAUUUAUUUUUUGUGGGGGAGGGCCCACCACAGUGGCUUGCUGCUGGGGCCCUCUGGUGUCGCCCAGUGCGUUGCACUAUUGCCUGGGCAGGCGCGCCCCAA